GUAUGUAUAUAUUGUUUCCACUGUGAAAAGAAGAAAAAAAAUUGAAUUGCGUACGUUGGGAUCUAUUAAAAAAUUUAAUUAAUAACAAAAGCCCAUGUAGUGGUUUUUAUGAUUAUAUAUUUUCUUUUUAUUAAUUGUCACUGGGCAUGAAUGAGAUCGUUGCGACAUGUUCCUCUAUUAUCAUUAAUAUUACCGGUGUGAUAAAUAUUUUUUAACAAACUAGUUUUGCUACAACAGAUGCAAUCGAAAUAGCACUAACCAAAUUAUUUUAAGUCAUUUAGUUUUAAAAUAAUGCGAAUAGUUUCCUGUAAAAUAACGAAAUCUCCACACUAGAAUUGAUUACCCUUUAUGGUUUAAACAAUUCAUAAUAUUCACUAUAAGUUGUCGAAUAUUUUUUCGUCUUUCACUUCAUACAUCUAAUUCCUCGAGAGUUCGUGAUAAACGAUUAUUAUCGAUGCGCCUUCGUUGACUGCGUCGCACUGCAUCGGCCCGCCGAUAGGGUUCGCUCUUCAGCCCGAGCAGUAUGUCCUCUAGAGCACCGUUAUAGACCUCAUCCUGAUGCAGUAGUUUUUUCUCCCGAACAGAAUUCGCUUUGCUCUUCAGCUCGUUAAUGACAGCGUCCUGUAAUGAGUAGCCACAACCGGGCAUCUGUUAUCAAUUCAGUGCAAUAUGGUAAACAUUUUGGAUAAGCGGCGUAUCACAUUCAAACGAAAGCAGCAAAGAAAAGGAAAAUAAACAUCACCACAGUGAACCAGUAAGCGUAUGAUAUUUAGGAUGCAUGAAAAUAGGUGAAAUGUUAAAUAAAAAUUUUGUUAGUUUGGACCGUCACCAGAAAUACAUAGUAUAUAUAAUACAUAUGUAUGUACAUUUCAACAUUAUUUAAUAUAAAUUAAAGUCAAUUGAUACAUUAAAGAAGCUUAUUAAAAUA
Molecule: non-coding RNA, 928 nt
Organism: Bactrocera oleae (olive fruit fly)
Lineage: Eukaryota; Metazoa; Arthropoda; Insecta; Diptera; Tephritidae
Source: RefSeq, a predicted model, not a curated record